Molecule: RNase P RNA, 369 nt
Filed under: Steroidobacteraceae bacterium
Lineage: Bacteria; Pseudomonadati; Pseudomonadota; Gammaproteobacteria; Steroidobacterales; Steroidobacteraceae
Description: RNase P RNA component class A
Rfam family: Bacterial RNase P class A
About the family: Ribonuclease P (RNase P) is a ubiquitous endoribonuclease, found in archaea, bacteria and eukarya as well as chloroplasts and mitochondria. Its best characterised activity is the generation of mature 5'-ends of tRNAs by cleaving the 5'-leader elements of precursor-tRNAs.
Source: RNAcentral
AGAGUCGGCCAGACAGUCGCUGUGCGUGUUUUACGCAUGGAGGAAAGUCCGGGCUCCAUCGGGCAAGGUGCCAGGUAACGCCUGGGGGGCGCGAGCCCACGGAAAGUGCAACAGAAAGAAACCGCCCAAGCGCCGCAAGGCGACGGCAAGGGUGAAAUGGUGCGGUAAGAGCGCACCGCGCCGUCGGUAACGACGGUGGCACGGCAAACCCCACCUGGAGCAAGGCCAAAUAGGGAAGCACGCGGUGCCAAUGGCCGCAACUGUGGCUCACAGGGGGCUUCCGGGUAGGUCGCUUGAGGUGCGCGGCGACGCGCAUCCCAGAGGAAUGACUGUCCAAGACAGAACCCGGCUUAACGGCCGACUCUUUUC